Long non-coding RNA from Eucalyptus grandis, 1192 nucleotides. RefSeq lists it as uncharacterized. The transcript is spliced from 2 exons. The record is from RefSeq and is a predicted model, not a curated record. Lineage: Eukaryota; Viridiplantae; Streptophyta; Magnoliopsida; Myrtales; Myrtaceae.
AAAAACAAAAGAACAAAACCGGAACACUUCGGGCUUCGUUUUCGUGCCCUUCUCUUUCGUUCGAGCUCUGCCUUUUCCGGCGUCUCUCCCUUCUCUCCGGCGCCUCCCACUCGGCUGACUCUUCGGCGACUCCCCACUCCACUGACUCUCCGGCGCCUCCCCACUCGGCUGACUCUCCGGCGCCAACAGGUGGUGCUCCUUCACCGGCUGAAGCUUCCGAAUCCAGGUACGCUCGCAAAUCUGAGCCACCUUCUACUGCUCCUCCUUCUCCGUUCGACGAGGGCUUCGGCGAGAGCCACCCCUCGCAAAUCUGAGCCACCUUCGCCGACAGCAGGGACGCUUGCUCGAGCGACAGCUCGCUCGAGCCUCAAGCGAGCGUUGCUCGCCCAGAUCUACGGCGGCGGCGACGGCGUUGGCAGAGACAACUUCCUCGGACUUCAGCACCGUCCCUCCCCCUCCGUGUUCCCUCCCCUCCACCACGAUGGCCUCGACCGUCUCCCACCACCACCGCCACCACAUCAUCCCACUUCACCUCCCUCUUCCUCGUCUCCGUCGUCGCCAUCGUCGUCUUCUUCCUCGCCUACUCCUCCUCUUAACGGGACAGAGAUUGAGCCGCUGCCGAGCUGUCCGCCGUGCAGAAUCCUUUGGUAAGGCGUCCGUGGGAUUGCUUCGAGAGUCCGCCACUGCACGCUCGUCGCGGGAGGUUUCUGGUCGUUCGGCUCUGCUGCAGCGGCGGCAGUAAUCCUACUGUCGUUGGCGUACGCGAGAAUGCGGAGCAGGAGGAGGCGGUGGUGGUGGAGCAGGGACAGAGUCCCCGUGGCGAAGGCGAGCAAGAACCCCCUCCUCCUCCUCAUCAGAGACAAGGACCAGAAGAUCAGUCAACUCCUGCUUCAAAUUGCACAAAUGAACGAACUCAUGUUAGCUCGGCGGCGGGUUCAGGUGCUUCGAGUCGAUCGUUAAUGCUUUUCAUCCCUCAUCAGUCGUCUCUCUGCUGCACUCGCUCCUUAAAGCUGCUCCAACCGGCACAAGAAUGGACGUGAAAAUGCGAGAAUUUUUGGCUUCUGUUUAUACAUAUAUGUAUGGAGGGAAUACACUUGAACUGCUCAAUGAGUACUGAUUCUGUAAAGACAAAUGGUGACUGCACCAAUCUAUUAUUCUAUUAGUUUGAUAUGUGGAAAUUCCAUCAUUUUGC